Molecule: small RNA, 640 nt
Filed under: Arabidopsis thaliana (thale cress)
Lineage: Eukaryota; Viridiplantae; Streptophyta; Magnoliopsida; Brassicales; Brassicaceae
Description: ATSL179490
Source: RNAcentral
ACUAAUUAGGUAGACGUAAAUGUGUUUGAUUUUUGGGGCUCUAGCUAUUUGCAUAGCUUCUAACAUCUAAAUAAAUUGUAGCUUGUCCUCUUCUGCUUGUGAGUGAGAUGUCUGAAGCUAAGGAGAUGGGCCAAACCCAUAACAAAUCAAGUCCAACUAUAAAGCCUGGUCAACAAAUACAGAAGAUGACAAAGAUCAAAAGCUGUCUCUCAUCCGUACAUGUACCUGCAGGAAACAUUGAAAGAGAAAGGAAGACGCUCCUCUAAAACUAAUUCAAUCCUCUUUCAUCCUUAUCUAAUAACCAAAAAUUACAUACAUCUGUAUAGUGUCGAGAGUGUUCUAGAUCCUUCUCCCUCAAUCUCUAUAAAAAGAAGAAUGUAAUCUCAUUGUAAUUAUUAUUGAAAAACAGAGUAAUAUUAUUAAAAGGUUCAAAUUUUCUCUUCUUUCUCAUGGUAUCAGAGCCAUUCUAAACUCUCACAGGUCCAAAAAUGGCAGAUCCAUACCCUUUUCCGGACAAUGUCCAUGUCUCUAGUUCUGUAACUCUCAAGCUCAAUGACUCCAACUAUCUCCUUUGGAAGACACAAUUCGAGUCUUUGCUAUCUUGUCACAAACUCAUCGGCUUUGUCAAUGGUGGAAUCAC